GCCGGGCACAGUGGCACGUGCCUGUAGCCCCGGCUACUCGGGAGGCUGAGGUGGAAGAAUCGCUUGAGCCUAGGAGUUCUGGGCUGUAGUGCGCUAUGCUGAUUGGGUGUCUGCACUAAGUUUGGCAUCAAUAUGGUGACCUCCAGGGAGUGAGGGACCACCAGGUUGCCUAAGGAGGGGUGAACGGCCCAGGUCGGAAAUGGAGCAGGUCAAAACUCCUGUGCUGAUCAGUAGUGGGAUUGCGCCUGUGAAUAGCCACUGGACUCCAGCCUGGGCAUUAUAGCGAGACCCCAUCUCUU
Molecule: unclassified non-coding RNA, 299 nt
Organism: Callithrix jacchus (white-tufted-ear marmoset)
Lineage: Eukaryota; Metazoa; Chordata; Mammalia; Primates; Cebidae
Rfam family: Metazoan signal recognition particle RNA
About the family: The signal recognition particle (SRP) is a universally conserved ribonucleoprotein.
Source: Ensembl